RNAcentral lists this small nuclear RNA (23 nucleotides) under Arabidopsis thaliana (thale cress). Its description in RNAcentral is "snRNA_18526". Lineage: Eukaryota; Viridiplantae; Streptophyta; Magnoliopsida; Brassicales; Brassicaceae. The record is from RNAcentral.
AAAGAUGGAUGCCCAUUAUAAGA